AUUGAACGCUGGCGGCAUGCUUUACACAUGCAAGUCGAACGGUAACAGGGUGCUUGCACCGCUGACGAGUGGCGAACGGGUGAGUAAUGCGUCGGAACGUGCCGAGUAGUGGGGGAUAACGCAGCGAAAGUUGUGCUAAUACCGCAUACGUACUGAGGUAGAAAGUGGGGGACCUUCGGGCCUCACGCUAUUCGAGCGGCCGACGUCUGAUUAGCUAGUAGGUGAGGCAAAGGCUCACCUAGGCGACGAUCAGUAGCGGGUCUGAGAGGAUGAUCCGCCACACUGGGACUGAGACACGGCCCAGACUCCUACGGGAGGCAGCAGUGGGGAAUUUUGGACAAUGGGCGAAAGCCUGAUCCAGCCACGCCGCGUGUCUGAAGAAGGCCUUCGGGUUGUAAAGGACUUUUGUCAGGGAGGAAAUCCCUAGUGCUAAUAACACUGGGGGAUGACAGUACCUGAAGAAUAAGCACCGGCUAACUACGUGCCAGCAGCCGCCGUAA
RNAcentral lists this ribosomal RNA (500 nucleotides) under uncultured bacterium. Its description in RNAcentral is "partial 16S ribosomal RNA". It matches the Rfam family "Bacterial small subunit ribosomal RNA", at positions 30 to 523 of the family's 1533-position model. The record is from RNAcentral.